AAGCCAUUGUUGUUCAGCCAAGGAUGACUUGCCGGCAGCUUAAUAUUUUGGUGGUGAGGUGUGUGACGACAAAGCGAGCCCGGCCGGCAAGUUAUCUCUGGCUACACAACUGCUUCU
RNAcentral lists this microRNA precursor (117 nucleotides) under Capsella rubella. The record is from RNAcentral. Lineage: Eukaryota; Viridiplantae; Streptophyta; Magnoliopsida; Brassicales; Brassicaceae.